This 389-nucleotide ribosomal RNA is filed under the name uncultured bacterium. Its description in RNAcentral is "bacterial SSU rRNA". It matches the Rfam family "Bacterial small subunit ribosomal RNA", at positions 28 to 417 of the family's 1533-position model. The record is from RNAcentral.
GACGAACGCUGGCGGCGUGCUUAACACAUGCAAGUCGAACGGUGACCCAGGGCUUGCCCUGGUGAUCAGUGGCGAACGGGUGAGUAACACGUGGGCAACCUGCCCCUGACUUCGGGAUAACUCCUCGAAAGAGGAGCUAAUACCGGAUACGACCACUUCGGACAUCCGAUGGUGGUGGAAAGUUUUUCGGUCAGGGAUGGGCCCGCGGCCUAUCAGCUAGUUGGUGGGGUAAUGGCCUACCAAGGCGACGACGGGUAGCCGGCCUGAGAGGGCGACCGGCCACACUGGGACUGAGACACGGCCCAGACUCCUACGGGAGGCAGCAGUGGGGAAUAUUGCGCAAUGGGCGAAAGCCUGACGCAGCGACGCCGCGUGAGGGAUGAAGGCCU